Molecule: ribosomal RNA, 567 nt
Filed under: uncultured bacterium
Lineage: Bacteria
Description: partial 16S ribosomal RNA
Rfam family: Bacterial small subunit ribosomal RNA
Source: RNAcentral
UGGGGAAUUUUGGACAAUGGGCGAAAGCCUGAUCCAGCAAUGCCGCGUGUGUGAAGAAGGCCUUCGGGUUGUAAAGCACUUUUGUCCGGAAAGAAAUCCUUGGCUCUAAUACAGUCGGGGGAUGACGGUACCGGAAGAAUAAGCACCGGCUAACUACGUGCCAGCAGCCGCGGUAAUACGUAGGGUGCAAGCGUUAAUCGGAAUUACUGGGCGUAAAGCGUGCGCAGGCGGUUUUGCUAAGACCGAUGUGAAAUCCCCGGGCUCAACCUGGGAACUGCAUUGGUGACUGGCAGGCUAGAGUAUGGCAGAGGGGGGUAGAAUUCCACGUGUAGCAGUGAAAUGCGUAGAGAUGUGGAGGAAUACCGAUGGCGAAGGCAGCCCCCUGGGCCAAUACUGACGCUCAUGCACGAAAGCGUGGGGAGCAAACAGGAUUAGAUACCCUGGUAGUCCACGCCCUAAACGAUGUCAACUAGUUGUUGGGGAUUCAUUUCCUUAGUAACGUAGCUAACGCGUGAAGUUGACCGCCUGGGGAGUACGGUCGCAAGAUUAAAACUUAAAUGAAUUGAC